ACGAGUCUACGUCGACGCAGUAUGCAUCGGAGGCAGAAAAUUUAUUCAAGCUCUGAAGUCCCAAACAACUGAAAAUGCUCCAAAACACCAUCACGUGACCCAGUAGCAGACACUACAUCUGCCAAUGAGCAAUGGACAGAACUGAGAAUACCAUAUCAUGAACCGUAGUGAACACUGCUGGCAACAUCCUGUUUUAGGAUCGAUUUCUCUACAUACAAGCCCCACCAGUGCAGUUGGCACACAACAGCAUCCCUCCUGAUCAAGUGAAAAGGAAUCCUAUGACACCGCUUGAUCUUUGUCUGACAUGGAAAUCUGCAAAUCAAAUAAGGUGGAAGAAUAACAUCUGGUUAAAAAAUUUAUGUGGAAAAAUAUCUGCUUUAAAGUGAUGUCAUGAACUGGACGCUGCACUCUUGAUUCCAACACUAAUAUUGUCAAGUUCAUAUUCAGCAAGUUGAAGAUAACUGACACCAUCUUUAAGUAUAAGUUUCACAAAUAUGGUAUUCAGAAGUUUUUUGUUUUCACUACUGAUGUAUAUAUAGUAUAAAAAAAUGGAUUUCUGUAAUAGAAUAAAGUAUUGGAAUACA
Molecule: long non-coding RNA, 584 nt
Filed under: Haliotis rufescens (red abalone)
Lineage: Eukaryota; Metazoa; Mollusca; Gastropoda; Lepetellida; Haliotidae
Description: uncharacterized LOC124136455, transcript variant X12
Source: RNAcentral